AUGUACAGGCCAUGCUACCCUGAACAAGCCCGAUCCUGUCUGAUCUUGGAAGCUAAGCAGGGUCGGGCCUGUUUAGUACUUGGAUGGGAGACCACCUAGGAAGACCAGGUGCUGUAGGCA
Molecule: ribosomal RNA, 120 nt
Filed under: Pteropus alecto (black flying fox)
Lineage: Eukaryota; Metazoa; Chordata; Mammalia; Chiroptera; Pteropodidae
Source: RNAcentral